GCGGAGGUGGCGAAAUUGGCAGACGCACAGCCUUGAGGUGGCUGCGCCCGCAAGGGCAUGGGGGUUCAAGUCCCCCUCUCCGCACCA
Molecule: transfer RNA, 87 nt
Filed under: Acidobacteriota bacterium
Lineage: Bacteria; Pseudomonadati; Acidobacteriota
Description: Acidobacteria bacterium tRNA-Leu
Rfam family: tRNA
About the family: Transfer RNA (tRNA) molecules are approximately 80 nucleotides in length. Their secondary structure includes four short double-helical elements and three loops (D, anti-codon, and T loops). Further hydrogen bonds mediate the characteristic L-shaped molecular structure. tRNAs have two regions of fundamental functional importance: the anti-codon, which is responsible for specific mRNA codon recognition, and the 3' end, to which the tRNAs corresponding amino acid is attached (by aminoacyl-tRNA synthetases). tRNAs cope with the degeneracy of the genetic code in two manners: having more than one tRNA (with a specific anti-codon) for a particular amino acid; and 'wobble' base-pairing, i.e. permitting non-standard base-pairing at the 3rd anti-codon position.
Source: RNAcentral